AGAGUUUGAUCCUGGCUCAGGACGAACGCUGGCGGCGUGCUUAAUACAUGCAAGUCGAGCGAGGUUACUGUUUCGGAUCCCUUCGGGGUGAAGAAGCUUUAACCUAGCGGCGGACGGGUGAGUAACGCGUGGGUAACCUACCCCAAAGUCCGGGAUAACAGCGGGAAACCGCUGCUAAUACCGGAUGCCUUUACCUUGGGGCAUCUUGAGGUAAAGAAAGGCAACGCUUUGGGAUGGGCCCGCGUCCCAUUAGCUAGUUGGUGAGGUAACGGCUCACCAAGGCGACGAUGGGUAGCCGGCCUGAGAGGGUGGACGGCCACACUGGGACUGAGACACGGCCCAGACUCCUACGGGAGGCAGCAGUAGGGAAUAUUGCGCAAUGGACGGAAGUCUGACGCAGCGACGCCGCGUGAGCGAUGAAGGUCUUCGGAUCGUAAAGCUCUGUCCUUGGGGAAGAAGGCGAAAGCUUGACGGUACCCAAGAAGAAAGCCCCGGCUAACUACGUGCCAGCAGCCGCGGUAAUACGUAGGGGGCGAGCGUUGUCCGGAAUUACUGGGCGUAAAGGGUGCGUAGGCGGCCCUUUAAGUCGGAUGUGAAAGCCCGCGGCUUAACCGCGGAAUGGCAUUCGAAACUGGAGGGCUUGAGUGUCGGAGAGGGUAGUGGAAUUCCCAGUGUAGCGGUGAAAUGCGUAGAUAUUGGGAGGAACACCAGUGGCGAAGGCGACUACCUGGACGAUAACUGACGCUGAGGCACGAAAGCUAGGGGAGCAAACAGGAUUAGAUACCCUGGUAGUCCUAGCCGUAAACGAUGGGUACUAGGUGUGGGUGGUUUCGAUACCAUCCGUGCCGUAGUUAACGCAUUAAGUACCCCGCCUGGGGAGUACGUGCGCAAGCAUGAAACUCAAAUGAAUUGACGG
Molecule: ribosomal RNA, 916 nt
Filed under: uncultured bacterium
Lineage: Bacteria
Description: bacterial SSU rRNA
Rfam family: Bacterial small subunit ribosomal RNA
Source: RNAcentral